RNAcentral lists this non-coding RNA (81 nucleotides) under unclassified sequences. RNAcentral describes it as "skipping-rope RNA". It matches the Rfam family "skipping-rope RNA". From Rfam's summary of the family: Firmicutes, Fusobacteria, AlphaProteobacteria, Spirochaetes. Downstream gene The record is from Rfam by way of RNAcentral.
AUUACUUGAGGGCAGAACAGGCAGCUGCCGCACCCUUGUGGUCUGAAAAGAGAUGUAGGGUACGCCUUCCUACCAAAUAAU